AAAGUCGUAACAAGGUUUCCGUAGGUGAACCUGCGGAAGGAUCAUUAACACGUAUCCAACGUUAAAAACCCCGUGCAUAUUAACCCUGCUCUCUUCGGCCUUGAUAAGCAAUCUCUGGUAAAUCACACAGAACAGUUUGAUUCAGAGACUUCUUUGAAGACGUCGGGGAUCGAGCGGUAGAGCAAAUAGACUUGGUUUCCGAAAGGAUAACUGAUACUUACUCAGAUCGUUGGCCCUCACGGUCAACGGACAAGUCUCUGGGGCUUCGGCUCCCCUUCUAUUUAACCCCUGUAUGUGAAAGUCGGGCUUGCAAACUACAGGCCCACAAAACGAACAACUGUUAACAAUGGAUAUCUUGGUUCUC
RNAcentral lists this unclassified non-coding RNA (364 nucleotides) under fungal sp. RNAcentral describes it as "partial contains small subunit ribosomal RNA, internal transcribed spacer 1, and 5.8S ribosomal RNA". The stretch from base 1 to 47 matches the Rfam family "Eukaryotic small subunit ribosomal RNA", at positions 1785 to 1831 of the family's 1831-position model. The record is from RNAcentral. Lineage: Eukaryota; Fungi.